CCUACGGGAGGCAGCAGUGAGGAAUAUUGGUCAAUGGACGAGAGUCUGAACCAGCCAAGUAGCGUGAAGGAUGACUGCCCUAUGGGGUGUAAACUUCUUUUAUAGGGGAAUAAAAUGUUCCACGUGGGGGAUUUUGUAUGUACCAUAUGAAGAAGGAUCGGCUAACUCCGUGCCAGCAGCCGCGGUAAUACGGAGGAUCCGAGCGUUAUCCGGAUUUAUUGGGUUUAAAGGGAGCGUAGGUGGAUUGUUAAGUCAGUUGGGAAAGUUUGCGGCUCCACCGUCAAAUUGCAGUUGAAACUGGCAGUCUUGCGUCCAGUCGCGGUGGGCGGCAUUCGUGGUGUCGCGGUGCACUGCUUCGCUCUCACG
RNAcentral lists this ribosomal RNA (366 nucleotides) under uncultured bacterium. RNAcentral describes it as "partial 16S ribosomal RNA". It matches the Rfam family "Bacterial small subunit ribosomal RNA", at positions 338 to 701 of the family's 1533-position model. The record is from RNAcentral.